Brassica napus (rape) is the source of this 1016-nucleotide long non-coding RNA. RefSeq lists it as uncharacterized. The transcript has 5 exons. Lineage: Eukaryota; Viridiplantae; Streptophyta; Magnoliopsida; Brassicales; Brassicaceae. The record is from RefSeq and is a predicted model, not a curated record.
UGAAUUAACAAAAUAAUAUAGAUAAAAUUAAUUUUUAAUUAAGUUCAGUUUGUUAUUAUUCUAACCAUUUAAACGAAUUGGGCCUUGAAAUUUUUUAAUUAAGUUCAAUUUCUAAUUUCAAUUUGUUAUAAGUUCAAUUAAGUUCAUUUUAAACGAAUUGGGCCUUUUAAAUCUAACCAUUGACUAUUCGGCCACUUAUCAAAAUAACCGUUUAUUAAUUUCCAAGUUAAAAAAAAAUAGAAAAGGAAAGGGAAAAAAAAGGAGAGAUCUAGAAACGGUCGUCUCUUCUUGGCCGACGAACAAUCAGAUUGAAAUUGAUGGUGCUAUUCAAAGUUAUACAACAUAUAUUUGAGAAAGACAACUUCAGAAAUAAGAAAUCGAAAGAUCCUUAUGUAAAAGGUUUAGUUUUCACAGAUGAAGAGUUUCUUAGAUCUGAAAUUAUGUCACAGAAGAAGAUCAACCGUAUCAAAUGUUGAGGACUUUAACACAUCUGAAGAAUCGAACAAAGUUAAAUCAGACAUAUAAUCUGAGUUCAAAUGUAAUGGUGGUGCUGCUCCGUGGUGAUACAAUUAGCUGAAGAAAUAAGUUUAUUAAAAGUGUAGCAUUACACUUGCGUCUUACAAAGAAAGUUGCAGUUUCUAGGUGGUUGAAUGAGUAAGGAAUAUUGAUAGUGUGAUUCGGCUUGCAGAUAGGAAGGGAUUGAACAUGAACCAAUACUACCACCCAAAAAGAUAAGUAUCUUUUUAUACUUUACCAGAAUUUAAAUAUAUAGUAACUUACUGUUAUAUUAUGUUCUUUUGACAGGAAAAUAUGCGUAUUACAUGGUACAUCCAAAUGGAAAUUAAGAAGCAAAUUGAUGACAGCGACUAUUAAGAUAACUUUCUUCAGUGCAUUUAAUCAGGCAUAGGGUUUGCAAGAAAAAAGAAGAUGAUUUCGGUGGGGUUUUAAUGGUAUAGGAUGUUUCAUCAUGAAGAUAAUUUUGAUGGGCUGAAUAUUCAUUCAUGUUUGGAUUUAAA